RNAcentral lists this ribosomal RNA (450 nucleotides) under uncultured organism. Its description in RNAcentral is "partial 16S ribosomal RNA". It matches the Rfam family "Bacterial small subunit ribosomal RNA", at positions 332 to 798 of the family's 1533-position model. The record is from RNAcentral.
UACACUCCUACGGGAGGCAGCAGUGGGGAAUAUUGGACAAUGGGCGCAAGCCUGAUCCAGCCAUGCCGCGUGAGUGAUGAAGGCCCUAGGGUUGUAAAGCUCUUUCACCGGUGAAGAUAAUGACGGUAACCGGAGAAGAAGCCCCGGCUAACUUCGUGCCAGCAGCCGCGGUAAUACGAAGGGGGCUAGCGUUGUUCGGAUUUACUGGGCGUAAAGCGCACGUAGGCGGACUAUUAAGUCAGGGGUGAAAUCCCGGGGCUCAACCCCGGAACUGCCUUUGAUACUGGUAGUCUUGAGUUCGAGAGAGGUGAGUGGAAUUCCGAGUGUAGAGGUGAAAUUCGUAGAUAUUCGGAGGAACACCAGUGGCGAAGGCGGCUCACUGGCUCGAUACUGACGCUGAGGUGCGAAAGCGUGGGGAGCAAACAGGAUUAGAUACCCCUGUAGUCCCAU